UCUCCGUAGGUGAACCUGCGGAAGGAUCAUUGUCGAAACCUGCCCAGCAGAACGACCCGCGAACUUGUAUAAACAACUGGGGGCGGGGGGCGUUCUCGCCCCGUGCCCCCGAACGGCGGGGAGACACUCGUGCCUUCUUGCCGAACAACGAACCCCGGCGCGGUCUGCGCCAAGGAACUUCAACUAUAGAGUGCCUCCGGUCGCCUCGGAAACGGCGUGCGUGCCGGAGGCGAAUCUUGUGCAAAACCAUAACGACUCUCGGCAACGGAUAUCUCGGCUCUC
Molecule: unclassified non-coding RNA, 282 nt
Filed under: plant metagenome
Description: partial contains small subunit ribosomal RNA, internal transcribed spacer 1, and 5.8S ribosomal RNA
Source: RNAcentral